RNAcentral lists this ribosomal RNA (422 nucleotides) under Fusobacteriota bacterium. RNAcentral describes it as "Fusobacteria bacterium partial 16S ribosomal RNA". It matches the Rfam family "Bacterial small subunit ribosomal RNA", at positions 355 to 776 of the family's 1533-position model. The record is from RNAcentral. Lineage: Bacteria; Fusobacteriati; Fusobacteriota.
UGGGGGAUUUUGCACAAUGGGCGCAAGCCUGAUGCAGCGACGCCGCGUGAGGGAUGAAGGCCUUCGGGUUGAAAACCUCUUUCGCUGGGUUGAAAGGCCAUGCUUUGGGUGUGGUUGAUUUGAACUGGUAAAGAAGUACCGGCUAACUACGUGCCAGCAGCCGCGGUAAUACGUAGGGUACUAGCGUUGUCCGGAUUUAUUGGGCGUAAAGGGCUUGUAGGUGGUUUGUCGCGUCUGUCGUGAAAUCCUGUGGCUUAACCAUGGGCUUGCGGUGGGUACGGGCAGGCUUGAGUGCGGUAGGGGAGACUGGAAUUCCUGGUGUAGCGGUGGAAUGCGCAGAUAUCAGGAGGAACACCGGUGGCGAAGGCGGGUCUCUGGGCCGUUACUGACACUGAGGAGCGAAAGCGUGGGGAGCGAACAGG